Molecule: ribosomal RNA, 253 nt
Filed under: uncultured bacterium
Lineage: Bacteria
Description: partial 16S ribosomal RNA
Rfam family: Bacterial small subunit ribosomal RNA
Source: RNAcentral
GACGGAGGGGGCUAGCGUUGUUCGGAAUUACUGGGCGUAAAGAGCGUGUAGGUGGUUUAACAAGUUGGAAGUGAAAGCCCGGGGCUUAACCUCGGAAUUGCUUUCAAAACUGUUAGACUAGAGUGUAGUAGGGGAUGAUGGAAUUCCUAGUGUAGAGGUGAAAUUCUUAGAUAUUAGGAGGAACACCGGUGGCGAAAGCGAUCAUCUGGGCUACAACUGACACUGAGACGCGAAAGCGUGGGGAGCAAACAGG